GAGCGAUAGCAGCAGCUUGUCUGGACAGGACACAUAUGCGUGGUCAGGGUGACUGUGCUGGGGAUGUCUCAGCAGCAGAUCUCUGCAGGAAGCCAGAGCGGGGUAUCACCGAAUUGGAAGGAAGCAGAACUGGAGAAAAGGUCCAUUAGGAGGCUGUUGCAGCAUCCUGGGUGUGAGUUAACAGGAGAGAGAGGGAGGAAGGAGUCGAGGGUGACUCUUAUGUUCCUGGCUUGGGCAGCUUGCUGAGGAUGUUAUUUACUUGGAAGGAGGUUGAGUGGAAGGUACCAAGGUAAUUUUGAAUAUAUAUGUUAUGAGUUACCUGUGAGGCAUCUAAGUAGCAAUGCAUUCUACACAAUUGACUAUGUGGGUCUGGAGCUCAGAAUAAGCUGGCCUAGAAAUGUGUACAUGGGACUCCUCUGCACAUAGCUAUUAAUUGAAACAACAGGCAUGGAUAAGAUUCAUGGGGUGAGUGGGGAGAGUGGGGAGAGAAAAAUAGGGGGCUAGGACAGGACUCUAGGAGCCCACCAUUUAAGGGAAGGGCAGAGGGAGAGAAGCCUGAGAAGGAGAGUGGGAAGGAGCAGCAGAGAGAUGGGAAGAAAAGAGAUAUCAAGGAAGCCAAGAGAAGAAAUGUUCCAAGAUGGGAAUAGACAGCAGUGUCAGAGGGAACUGAGAGGUCAAAUAAUGUAUGGACUGAGUGUCCAUUGGAUUUAACAACAAAGUAAUUUUGGGUCACUUUCGUGAGAGCAGUUUCAGGGAAAUAGUGGGGUGGAAAUUAAAUGGAAGUGGGCAGCCCAUGGGCAGUCUGUAGACAUCUUCAAGAAGCUUAGCUGAGAAGAGGAGGUGAACGAGUAUAGUAGCUGGAGGUGUUUGGUUCACGAAAUUAAGGGGAAAUUGUCUUGACGAUGGGAGAAGUUUGUACAGUUGACUCUUGAACAACACGGGUGUGCACUUACAUGUGGAUUUUUUUCAGUAAAUACAGUACUCUAAAUGUGUUUUCUCUUCCUUGUGAUUUUCUUAAUAACAUUUUCUUUUUUUGUAGCUUAACUUGAUUAUAAGAAUAUGGUACAUAAUACACAUAACAUACAAAAUAUGUGUUAAUUGACUGCUUGUGUUAUCGGUAAUGCUCCUGGUCAACAAUAGGCUAUUAGUUGAGUUUUGGAGAAGUCAAAAAAGUUACAAGUGGAUUUUCGACUGCAGAUUCUGGGAGGGAGGGGCCAGUAUCCUAACCCCAUGUUGUCCAAAGAUC
Molecule: long non-coding RNA, 1246 nt
Filed under: Ursus maritimus (polar bear)
Lineage: Eukaryota; Metazoa; Chordata; Mammalia; Carnivora; Ursidae
Description: lncRNA (ENSUMAG00000010073.1)
Source: RNAcentral